GCCUCUUGUGUGUGAUUGACAGCUCUGCCAGGGCAGGGGGCGAGGCUCUGUCCCACCACAAACCAAGGCUUGACCCAGCCCUGGCCCCACACGAGCAUUCCGAGCAUCCCAAGGUGUCUCGGGACACCGAUCUCAUCCAGCCUCUGACAGCAACCACAGUGACGCUACAGAACCUCAUGGAACCAUGGGUCAGUUGUGACACUCUGGUGCCUCAUGGAAUCAAGGAGACCAUUGUGAAACCUGGGGUGCCCAAGGAGGCAAGGGUCCAUGGUAACCUUGUGGAGCCCGCAGUGUCACAGAAGAGGCAUUGUGAAACAGCAAGGGCACAGGGAGCCCAGGGGCCAUGGUGACACAUCAGGGCUUUGUGGAAUCAUGAAGCAUGGUGACAUUGCAAGGCCUCAUGGGAGCACAGGGCCAUUGUGACACUGCAGAAGCAGGGGGAACAUUGUGACACUCCAGGGCCUCAUGGAACUAAGGAGACCAUUGUGACACUGUGGGGUCCCAAGAAACCAAUGGACCAUGGAACAAGUCUGGCUGGCUGGGCCUCAUGGGGACCACCUGACAGGUCCAGCUGACCUUGGCAUGUUGAGGGCUGCUUCUCAUCUGUCCCUGAAGCACUGGGGCUCAGGGCUUUCCUUCAUAGUGGAGAGAGCUGUCCUUCUCCUCCAGGGGCGAUGGCCAAAAUUGGGAUUCUUCCUCCAAAUUUCCUUACAUGCAAAGAUUGUUCCCAGAUGAAAUCUGCCAGGACUAACAAAUCUGUCUGUCUUGGCCCCCCAAGGGCCAUCUCCCAUCUGCCUUUGAAACACUGGGACCAUGUGCUUCUCUUUCUUAUGGGAAAAAAAACAUCCAUCUCGACCAGGCACUCAUAGCCAAAAUUGGGAAUCUGCUUCCAGAAUUCUCUAUAACCAAGGAUAACUCCCAGACAAAAGCUGUCCCCACUGAAAAGUCUGGCAGGCCUUGGCUUCCUGAGGGCUGGCACUCAUCUUCCUCUGAAACCCUUGGGCUCUGUGCUUUCCUUCCUAAUGAAAAGAACUCGUCUGGUUGUCCAGGCACCCACAGCCAAAACUGAGAUUCCACCUCCAAAAUACCCUAUGUCCAAGAACAGCCCAUAGAGACAGGCUGUGUUGGCCUAAAAGUUUAAUAUUCCGAAACGCUUGGACUUGGCAUUUUUCUUUCCUGUAGGUAAAAACCAUCCAUCCUGACAAGGUGCCCAUGGCCAAAACUGGGAUUGCACCUCCAAAACUCCAUACAUCCAAGGAUUGCUCCCAAAUGAAAGCUGCCAGGACAGACAGGUCUGGCUGCCCUUGGCCUCUUGGGGGCUGCCUCUCACCUGUUUUUCAAACACUGGGGCUCUGUGCUUUUCUUCCAAUGGAAAAGAACUGUCCUUCUUCUCAAAGUGUCCAUAGUCAAAAUUGAGAUUCCUUCUCCCAAAUUCCACAUAUACAAGGAUUCCUCCAUAAUAAAAACUGCCAGGACAAAUAGGUCUGGCUGGCUUGGCCUCCCAGGAGCCACCUCUCUCCUUUUCUGUCUUUGAAACCCUUGGUCUCUGGGCUUUUCUUCCUAGGGAAAAGAACCACCCUUCUUGUCUAUAUAGAAAUGGCCAAAAUUGGGAUUCCACCUCCCAAAUUCCUUAUAUCCUAGGGUUGCUGUCAGACAAAAGCUACCAGGACAGAGGUCUGGCUGGCCUAGACCUCUGAUGGCCGCCUUUCAUCUGCCCCGCAAACACCGGUGUUCUGUGCUUUCCUUCCCAUGGAAAAGAACCGUCCUCUUCUGGGAGUCCAUGUCUGAAAUUGGGAUUCCACCUCUAAAAUUUUGUAUAUCCAAGGGUUGCUCUCAGGAAAAAUCUACCAGUACUGUCAAGUCUGGCUGGUCUUGGCCUCUGAUGACUGCCCUGCAACACUGGGGCUGGGUUCUUUCCUUCCCAUGGAGACCCCUGGGACACUGUGGGGACCUCAUGAAGCCAAGGGGAUCCUUGUGGCACCACUGGAGCCCAUGGAACCAAGGGGCCGUGGUGACACAUCAGGGCUUCAUGGAACCCAGAGACUAUUGUGACCAUGGAGACCAUUGUGACCCUUCAGGGCCUCGUGUCACCAAGGGGGCAUUGGGACACCUCAGGGCCUCAUGGAAGCAAGGGACCAUUGGGACACUGUGGGGCUCCAUGGAACCGAGGGAAUGUGGAACAGGUCUGGCUGGCUUGGCGUCCCAGGGACCACCUGACAGAUUUUCAGGGCUGUGCUGAGGAUCCCCUCUGAGCAUGGACGGCACAAAGCCUUUUCCACCUGCCUUCCUCACCUGGCUGUAAUGUCUCUGUUCAUCAGCACUGGAACAUUUGCCCACCUAAAGCGCCCCUCCACCUCCUCCCCAUCCCUGGAUCUGGCAGUGUCAUUUCUGUACUCGGUGGUGCCUCCAGCCCUGAGCCCCCUCAUCUACAAUCUGAGGAACCAGGAGCUCAAGGCUGCAGUGUGGAAACUGAUGAAUGGAUCCGUUCAGAAACAUUGAACUGCUGGACAAUUUCUGAAAAUCACAUUUAAUAAAAGGCAUUUUCAAUACUU
Passer domesticus (house sparrow) is the source of this 2552-nucleotide long non-coding RNA. RefSeq lists it as uncharacterized. Lineage: Eukaryota; Metazoa; Chordata; Aves; Passeriformes; Passeridae. The record is from RefSeq and is a predicted model, not a curated record. The transcript is spliced from 2 exons.